This 566-nucleotide ribosomal RNA is filed under the name uncultured Lachnospiraceae bacterium. RNAcentral describes it as "bacterial SSU rRNA". It matches the Rfam family "Bacterial small subunit ribosomal RNA", at positions 98 to 683 of the family's 1533-position model. Lineage: Bacteria; Bacillati; Bacillota; Clostridia; Lachnospirales; Lachnospiraceae. The record is from RNAcentral.
GCGGACGGGUGAGUAACGCGUGGGUAACCUGCCUCAUACAGGGGGAUAACAGUUAGAAAUGACUGCUAAUACCGCAUAAGACCAAGGAGCCGCAUGGCUCAGUGGGAAAAACUCCGGUGGUAUGAGAUGGACCCGCGUCUGAUUAGGUAGUUGGUGGGGUAACGGCCUACCAAGCCAACGAUCAGUAGCCGACCUGAGAGGGUGACCGGCCACAUUGGGACUGAGACACGGCCCAAACUCCUACGGGAGGCAGCAGUGGGGAAUAUUGCACAAUGGGGGAAACCCUGAUGCAGCGACGCCGCGUGAGCGAAGAAGUAUUUCGGUAUGUAAAGCUCUAUCAGCAGGGAAGAAAAUGACGGUACCUGACUAAGAAGCACCGGCUAAAUACGUGCCAGCAGCCGCGGUAAUACGUAUGGUGCAAGCGUUAUCCGGAUUUACUGGGUGUAAAGGGAGCGUAGACGGCUGUGUAAGUCUGAAGUGAAAGCCCGGGGCUCAACCCCGGGACUGCUUUGGAAACUAUGCAGCUAGAGUGUCGGAGAGGUAAGUGGAUUCCCAGUGUAGCGGUG